RNAcentral lists this ribosomal RNA (879 nucleotides) under uncultured bacterium. RNAcentral describes it as "bacterial SSU rRNA". It matches the Rfam family "Bacterial small subunit ribosomal RNA", at positions 1 to 875 of the family's 1533-position model. The record is from RNAcentral.
GGCUUAGAGUUUGAUCAUGGCUCAGGAUGAACGCUAGCUACAGGCUUAACACAUGCAAGUCGAGGGGCAUCGGGAAGAAAGCUUGCUUUCUUUGCCGGCGACCGGCGCACGGGUGAGUAACACGUAUCCAACCUGCCCUUUACUCGGGGAUAGCCUUUCGAAAGAAAGAUUAAUACCCGAUGGCAUAAUGAUUCCGCAUGGUUUCAUUAUUAAAGGAUUCCGGUAAAGGAUGGGGAUGCGUUCCAUUAGGUUGUUGGUGAGGUAACGGCCCACCAAGCCUUCGAUGGAUAGGGGUUCUGAGAGGAAGGUCCCCCACAUUGGAACUGAGACACGGUCCAAACUCCUACGGGAGGCAGCAGUGAGGAAUAUUGGUCAAUGGGCGCUAGCCUGAACCAGCCAAGUAGCGUGAAGGAUGAAGGCUCUAUGGGUCGUAAACUUCUUUUAUAUAAGAAUAAAGUGCAGUAUGUAUACUGUUUUGUAUGUAUUAUAUGAAUAAGGAUCGGCUAACUCCGUGCCAGCAGCCGCGGUAAUACGGAGGAUCCGAGCGUUAUCCGGAUUUAUUGGGUUUAAAGGGAGCGUAGGUGGACUGGUAAGUCAGUUGUGAAAGUUUGCGGCUCAACCGUAAAAUUGCAGUUGAUACUGUCAGUCUUGAGUACAGUAGAGGUGGGCGGAAUUCGUGGUGUAGCGGUGAAAUGCUUAGAUAUCACGAAGAACUCCGAUUGCGAAGGCAGCUCACUGGACUGCAACUGACACUGAUGCUCGAAAGUGUGGGUAUCAAACAGGAUUAGAUACCCUGGUAGUCCACACAGUAAACGAUGAAUACUCGCUGUUUGCGAUAUACAGUAAGCGGCCAAAGCGAAGCAUUAAGUAUUCCACCUG